Molecule: ribosomal RNA, 393 nt
Filed under: uncultured Neisseria sp.
Lineage: Bacteria; Pseudomonadati; Pseudomonadota; Betaproteobacteria; Neisseriales; Neisseriaceae
Description: bacterial SSU rRNA
Rfam family: Bacterial small subunit ribosomal RNA
Source: RNAcentral
AACGCGAAGAACCUUACCUGGUCUUGACAUGUACGGAAUCCUCCAGAGACGGAGGAGUGUCUUCGGGAGCCGUAACACAGGUGCUGCAUGGCUGUCGUCAGCUCGUGACGUGAGAUGUUGGGUUAAGUCCCGCAACGAGCGCAACCCUUGUCAUUAGUUGCCAUCAUUCAGUUGGGCACUCUAAUGAGACUGCCGGUGACAAGCCGGAGGAAGGUGGGGAUGACGUCAAGUCCUCAUGGCCCUUAUGACCAGGGCUUCACACGUCAUACAAUGGUCGGUACAGAGGGUAGCCAAGCCGCGAGGUGGAGCCAAUCUCACAAAACCGAUGUAGUCCGGAUUGCACUCUGCAACUCGAGUGCAUGAAGUCGGAAUCGCUAGUAAUCGCAGUCAGCA